Molecule: ribosomal RNA, 459 nt
Filed under: uncultured Anaerolineae bacterium
Lineage: Bacteria; Bacillati; Chloroflexota; Anaerolineae
Description: bacterial SSU rRNA
Rfam family: Bacterial small subunit ribosomal RNA
Source: RNAcentral
GAUGAACGCUAGCGGUGUGCUUAACGCAUGCAAGUCGAACGAGAAGCUUGAUUUCGAUUGAGUGGAAAGUGGCGAACGGGUGAGUAACACGUUGGUGACCUGCCUUUGAGAGGGGGACAACCACUGGAAACGGUGGCUAAUACCCCAGAUGUUGACCUAUUUGGAAAGGGUUAACUAAAGCUCCGGCGCUCAAAGAGGGGCCAGCGUCCCAUCAGCUAGUUGGUAGGGUAACGGCUUACCAAGGCGAAGACGGGUAGGGGACGUGAGAGCGUGAUCCCCCACACUGGUACUGAUACACGGACCAGAUACCUACGGGUAGCAGCAGCGAGGAAUCUUGCGCAAUGGGCGAAAGCCUGACGCAGCAACACCGCGUGGAGGAUGAAGGCCUUCGGGUCGUAAACUCCUUUUCUGGGGGAAUAGAAAGGAAGGUACCCCAGGAAUAAGCUCCGGCUAACUACG